This 1164-nucleotide long non-coding RNA is filed under the name Elaeis guineensis (African oil palm). Its description in RNAcentral is "long non-coding RNA (EGUI_LNC007262)". Lineage: Eukaryota; Viridiplantae; Streptophyta; Magnoliopsida; Arecales; Arecaceae. The record is from RNAcentral.
UUUUACCUCACAUUGCUUUCAUGCUGAUCCACAUCAGGAGGUGAAAUAAUUGAAUCACACUUCUAGCCUUGCAGGUCCCUUUCAUAGGUUGGGUUUUUGGGGGACACAUGAGGUUCUUGUCUUGUUGCUUGAGUUGACCUCUUGGAUGGAGUUUCAUGCAUGAGCUUAUCUCAAAGGAUGCUUGUUUGGCAGAUUGAUGGCAUGAAUUCAAAGAAAUGCUACCAUGCUGGGAGCAAAUAUAUCCAAAUCUUCUUUCAAGUCUUGAGUAAUUUUCUCAAAAAAACAAAAGAGGGGGUUAAUUUGACCUUGGUGCUUGAUUCCUUGUACAAGUUGAGAGUGGGAAAUCAUGAGAUCCGGUAGAUGGUUGUAACCGUGGCUGCCAGAAUUUGUUUGCGCAGUUAACAGUGCUUUGGGGUUCAAGCAUUUAGAGGUGAGUACUGCAGUAUAGAAUUCAACUGUGAGGUACCACAAAUAUCAUCAGUAGCUGUGCAGAAUCUGAAAUAGUUGUAAGAGACUUGCAUGUUGCCUUACAAAAUCACAUUUUGUUCUCUCACCUUAGCUUUGUGAUGAUCACUUUUUUUCUUUUUUAUCGCACGGGAUCAAGUAAAUUCCCUCCUUGUAUAUUGCGAAGCCAUGAGUUGUAGUCAUAUUUGUUCUUUGUUGGAUACUCGGAUGAAUUGUCAAAUUGUGAUCCCCAAAACAUACAUAAGUGGUUAGAAGUUGAACAUCUCUCAGCGCUUUUGUCCAAAACAUACGUAAGAGCUCAUUCGUCAAAAAUGAAUGGCAGACUCCUCUCAAAUCAAAAUGACAAGAAAAGAAACAAUAUCUUCACUGUUAGCGAAUCUGACUCUGCAUCCAUCUUCUCAACAGCAACAAAAGGAGAGAAGAUUUCCGUCCAAACGAGGGCUGGUAACGGUUCCUAACAUUUCAGCAGAAAACUUUAUGUGCCACCACCACAUUAUCCGCUCAAAUAUCCAUCAAUGGUGGCAUCCCUGAUGCGUUCCGCCAACUGCAUGUGAAUUGUACCAAUCGCGAACUGCCACAUCAGAUGGGUAAUGGACAGACUAUAGGGCGGCGCACCAUCAUAUUACUGUUUCAUUAGUUCAUUUAUCUGCAUCCAUCCAUCCUUCAAACACCCAUCAUUGUGGCUCAACCAUGAGCAUG